RNAcentral lists this ribosomal RNA (301 nucleotides) under uncultured bacterium. Its description in RNAcentral is "partial 16S ribosomal RNA". It matches the Rfam family "Bacterial small subunit ribosomal RNA", at positions 509 to 808 of the family's 1533-position model. The record is from RNAcentral.
CAGCCGCCGCGGUAAUACGAAGGGGGCUAGCGUUGCUCGGAAUGACUGGGCGUAAAGGGCGCGUAGGCGGCUCAUACAGUCAGGCGUGAAAGUCCUGGGCUCAACCUGGGGUGGUCGCUUGAGACGUGUGGGCUAGAGUGGGGAAGAGGGUCGUGGAAUUCCCAGUGUAGAUGUGAAAUUCGUAGAUAUUGGGAAGAACACCGGUGGCGAAGGCGGCGACCUGGUCCUUUUACUGACGCUGAGGCGCGAAAGCGUGGGGAGCAAACAGGAUUAGAUACCCCGGUAGUCCCUGUCUCUUAUA